UAGGGAAUCUUCGGCAAUGGGGGGAACCCUGACCGAGCAACGCCGCGUGAGUGAAGAAGGUUUUCGGAUCGUAAAGCUCUGUUGUUAAGGAAGAACGAGUGUGAGAAUGGAAAGUUCAUGCUGUGACGGUACUUAACCAGAAAGGGACGGCUAACUACGUGCCAGCCGCCGCGGUAAUACGUAGGUCCCGAGCGUUGUCCGGAUUUAUUGGGCGUAAAGCGAGCGCAGGCGGUUAGAAAAGUCUGAAGUGAAAGGCAGUGGCUCAACCAUUGUAGGCUUUGGAAACUGUUUAACUUGAGUGCAGAAGGGGAGAGUGGAAUUCCAUGUGUAGCGGUGAAAUGCGUAGAUAUAUGGAGGAACACCGGUGGCGAAAGCGGCUCUCUGGGCUGUAACUGACGCUGAGGCUCGAAAGCGUGGGGAGCGAACAGG
RNAcentral lists this ribosomal RNA (429 nucleotides) under Bacteroidota bacterium. Its description in RNAcentral is "Bacteroidetes bacterium partial 16S ribosomal RNA". It matches the Rfam family "Bacterial small subunit ribosomal RNA", at positions 355 to 776 of the family's 1533-position model. The record is from RNAcentral. Lineage: Bacteria; Pseudomonadati; Bacteroidota.